This 4614-nucleotide long non-coding RNA is filed under the name Populus tremula. Its description in RNAcentral is "long non-coding RNA (PTRE_LNC000694)". The record is from RNAcentral. Lineage: Eukaryota; Viridiplantae; Streptophyta; Magnoliopsida; Malpighiales; Salicaceae.
CGUCUUUAAAAAGAUCAAAUGGAAUGUGCAAAGACAAACUUGGCAUGUUUACUCUCUGGUAGUGUCUCGAGUCAGUUUUGUGACUGCAGGAACUCAAAUGAUGUUUAUUUCUGAUCUGCAGGAGUAUCUUGAUGAGCGUGUUGGGUCUAGCACAAGAAGAGCAAUUCUGUAUCAGGUAUGAAAAACGUGAUAAUCUUAAACCUUAAUAUUUGUUCUUUCUUUCCUUGUAUUUACAGUAUGAAGUUGCUAGGCUUUGCUUCUUUGGAGCGUUUGAUUUUCUUAUAGUAUAUUGAUGGGUGCAUACUAACACCAUAGAAGACCAUAGAAUAAAACAGCUAAGAAAUUUCAGAUAAUAUCAACCAUGUAAGCAACGGCUGCAAACUCAGCAUCCUUUGGUUUGCAUAAAUAUUACUGAAUUAAGCUCAUAUCUAGCAUUUUAUCAGGAAGGGGACCUAAAAGUACACAUUGACAUCCAUAGAUGUGACUAUCAUAUACAUGCAUGUUUCCCAGCUUCUAGCGAGUUAUGAUUGCAGUGAAGUUUCUCCUCAGAAUGCGACUAGGACUAGCCUCAGGUUUUCAGCUCUCAAAAAAAUUUCUAUGAGACCCUAGUUAAUUUGCUUGUGACUGUGCAACUUGUAUUGACCUUCCAUUUAUUACACAUGUCUCUUGCUGGACCUUAAAAAAAAAACAUGUUGCAGGAAUACGUCAAAGGUAUAUCAUCAACUGGAAUGCAGUCUAGUUAUGGUUUUGAUGGUCAAGUCAAUGCUUGCUGGACGCAUAAGAUGACACGAACAGAAAUUGAAUUAAUCAGAUCUGCUGGAUUUCUUGUAUCAGUCAUACAUGGCAGGUAAUAGUGUUCUCUAUCUUAUUUCCGUGGAAUACACGAUUUCUGCCAAAUCACUAAUUUAAUAUUAUUCCUUUUACCUAUACAUUGUAUUUUAAAUUUUUAUUAUGCAGGCGAAUGAAAUAUACAAAGCUACUAACUCAUUAGAAAAGAACAUGUUUGAAGAAAGAUUGUGUGAAAUGGUGCACUGAAGCACAGCGAGUUCUUACAAAAUUAUGUUUUCAUGUGGUUUCAUUGAGAUGAAUUAAACAGCUUUUCAUUUUAUCAAUUACUUGAGUGGAGGAUAAUAUGAUUCAUAAAGUUAGAAAUCUGUCUUGGUCUAGUAGUAUAAAAGAAGCCAAAAUGCGCAAGGAUGCAAUGCAAGUGAGGGGGUCUAUCAUGCAGAAAAUACUUGGUCAAAAUCAUGUUUUCUAUAUGCUGUCAAGCAUCUGAGUAUUCAGUACAUAAAAAAACCUUCCCAAAAUGUAGAAAUGACAUUAUUGAUUGACGAGUUGAGAGCAGUCAAAAAUCAAAGAACCAUUGACAGAUAAUGAGUUUCAGGCUCUGAUUAGUUUUUUUCUGAUAUUAAAUUAUUCUUAAGACAAUUUCAGAUGCAAAAACAUUGUAUUUAACAAGGCAAUGAAUCAUUUUCCAUGUUUCAUGUCAUCACAUUUCAGAACACAUAUCUCAACUCUUUAAAGAUCAAAAGUCAAAACUAUACUCUAGCAGCAUACUUGACAGUGUUUUGCCAAUGAGUUCUGGAGCUUUAUAGAAAGCUUAUUUGGUAAAUAGCCAGUCUGCCGUCGUUGGUAGAUUCUUUUGUUUUUCUUAAUGAGUGGUAGCCCUAGGUGAAUACGUUAGUAGAUUCUUGCUAUUUACGUAUCAGAAAAGAAGAUGAAUAUUUUUUGUCAUGUGUAGUAAUGAUAUACCAUAAGGACUACAUCCUUGAGUGCUUUACCUGCUUAUGACUGAUUUGAGGUGCUCGGAAUGGAUAGGCAUGAUAUCAUUGCUCAAAUAUAUUAUGCGAGGAGGCUUGCAAAGAAGUUGCAGCCUGCUGCUAGAUUGGUUGAUCUCCACGGUGGGCAUCUAGUGAGCCAUGAGAGGACCACAGAGGUAUUCUUGCUAUCUUAUAUAGAAACAUGGCAUGAAUGCUCCAUUGCAUUAUGGAGCGGUGUUUGUUCUGCAAUAAAGAAUUAUUGUUAUUUUAGGGUAACACAUGCAUAUAUGAACAUUGAUCGAGAAAUAUUUUUUUCCUCCCCGGUGAAACUGGAAAUAUUAUAACAUUGCACUUGAUUAAGAACAAUAGUAGAUGCAUAUGUUGCUGUGUAGAAGGAUGCGGCAAGUCCAUGAAUCAAUCACGAAAAUGCUUAACUUUUUGUAUAAACUAACAAAACUAUGAAAUAUUUCACCACCGGCAGAAUUACAUCACAGAAAUUGCAUUCUGCGGUUUAUUUAAUUAUGUUACUAUGUAUAAAAAUCCAAGUAUUGUUUUUUUUUUUUUUUUUUUUUAAUUUCAGGUCAAUCAAGCUCUUUGUGACCUGAUUAGUGCUUCGGAAAAAAAGAUGAGCCCACAUGUUUGGACCAAUUUUCCCAAGGAAAGCUCUCGUAAGUAUCCACAUUCAGCAGGGGUUUCUGUUGGGUGUUAGCAAUGGUUGGGAUUGCCACCAUGAGCAUGCUGUAGUAUAUAUUUCCCCUUUUCUUUUCUGUGAAUGAGGAAAGAAAAGGGAGAUCGUCCGCAGGACAAAUUAUUUCAAAUCCAUGGAUUCCUGGCCUGCACCAUCCUAACUUCUCUCCUAAAAGGAAUGCCUAUCUCUUUGGCAACGAAAAUUUGAGCAUGUUUUUCAUUAAAGUAGUUCAAAAUAGAGAACGUGCAUCAAGAAACUUUCCUAAAUGGAUGCCUCUAGCGGCUAAAAUCUGGUGGAAGAAAGGAUGAUUGGAUCUAUACAUGUAAAUACCAUACAUUGCCAUUCAUUUUUAAAGUCAUGAGCUAAUAUUUUCUGGCUGCUUUUUCCCCCUUCUUGUCCAGGGUGGUCAGAGAAAGGAUCAUUAUUAGGUAGAACACGUGUAGAGGGUAAAACCGCAAGAUCUGCUCAACAGUUUGUGUCAUCGAAAAGCUGCAUCUAAGCAUAUCAUAUGUCUUCGGUCUCUUUGUGUUCAUGUUUGAGUAUAUACAAAGGGCCAUAAGAAGUCGGCAUCCAGCCAGAGUUGGAUCUUCCCUCACAUAAGCUAAUAGUCAAUCAAAUCCACCAUUUUUAGAGGUAAUUUCAUAAGAUUUCUCGCUCUCUGAUCAAGGCAUUCUUCUGCAAAGGGGAAAAACUUGAAACAUUUCAUAUCUGUUCAUUUUGCAGGGUUUAUUGACUUGCGACCCUUGUGGCUUGGCUCUAUGUGACCAUAACUAGGGAACUAUACAUUCAAAAUAAAGAACAACAAGGCCAAGCAGACCUUGUUAUGACAUAAAUUAACAUCAUGAUUCAGGAGGCUGUAUAAAGAAACCUGAAACCACCAUCAAGGCAUAUCUCAAGCCCUUGGAUUUUGUUCACAAGUAACAAUGUUAUUAAUAAAUUGGUUUGGGGUGAGCAAAGACCUCGAUGGAGAAUUCACAACAAGUGACCCAUUUUGGCUUUGUAUACCAGCAGCAAAUCAUUUUUACUGCUUACCCCUUCUGAGAAAAAAACUUGCCAUCCUUUCCCGUGUGUUUAUGUUGCAAACAAAUUAUUUCUUGAGUAUAUUAUUAUAUCACAAGCACAACUAUGUAACUAGAAGAAAAGGCUGGCCUAGUUGGUCAUGUAUUCUGCAAUGGCCAUGGCAAGUCUUUUUGACAAGCAUCGACCUUCUAAAUUCUACAUUUAACAAAAGCAUCAUGAUAUUGCACUAGAAAAAUGAUAAAAUUAGACAUGGAGUGACUGCUCCGUUCAUAAGACAAGUAAGACAAGGCAAACGCAAACCGAUCGAGACAAACAUCCAAUUAUACAGAGAUAAAGACCUCAAUUAACAAAUUUAUUCUCAGGAUCAUUUGACAGUGAACUCACGGCUAAUUUUGCAGACAAAUUUCCCGCCCACACUAGCUGCUAAAGCAUGCCUAACUACUAGUUAUGAUCACCACCGGAUAAUUAAAAAAUUGAUUGCAAGAAAAUUAUGUCAGACAACUAUUAGUUAUAAGUGAUUGACACGGCACAAAUCUCGGAUCCCUAGUUGAACCAAAAUAAAAAUCUAAAAGUAAAUUAAAAAAAAAAAAAAAACCUUUAUAAAAAUACAGUUUUUAACUGGUUUUUCUAAGGUGUCGUGGUGCUUUAACACCUAGUCAACCUCUCCCUAUUUUUGUGAAAUCCGCUGGAGACGCUUUCGACAUGACCGAGUUGAAUAACAGUGCUACUAGUAAUUCAAGAAAAGUGAACAGCCGCAAACAAGAUUUGGAUUCAGACCAUUUGAUCGUCUUAUGCACUUAAGACUCUUCAUAAUCAUCAAUAAGUUUCUCACCAAAAGCAUGUGUUAAUUUAGAGAGAACGAACUCUAGCUAGUAUUUCUUUGUAGAUAUAUAAAAGAAAGACCCUCUAAAACUUAUGGUGAGUGCAUGAUACAAACAUGUAGACAAAACCUCCAUGCAUGCCCAUAGGUAUAAGCUUAUCUCAUGAGAAAACGAAAACAAAUCAGAGGAUUUAUGUGCUGUACCUGUUGAAAAAGAGCUUGGUGGCUGAAACUUGUUGCUGAAUCCUGGAAUGAAAAUGGCAGCUGUGAGCAGUGAGCGUAUCUUUUGGUUAGGAAGCUGAGCUUGGAAGAAAAGAAAGAACGGA